This 875-nucleotide long non-coding RNA is filed under the name Homo sapiens (human). RNAcentral describes it as "HSALNT0354720". Lineage: Eukaryota; Metazoa; Chordata; Mammalia; Primates; Hominidae. The record is from RNAcentral.
UAUAACAAUGGAAAACCAGCCAACAAAUAUGUUUAUCUCACAGCAAGGCACAGCACACUCUGGAGGCAGAGCGGCCGCUACACGUUUCCCCACUCCUCGAACCUUGGUUUUCUCUCCACUCAAAUGGGAAUACUGACUGCCCACAUAACUGAUCAAAUGCAAUAAAGCCUGUCAAGCGCCAGAUGCAGGAUGUGGAACAAAGAAGGAUCUCAUCCUCAGAGUCCAGAUGGAAACCAACUGUCUUAGAAAAGUGUACGGCUCUAUUUCACUGACCAACCCAGUGUGGGCGACUUGCAAGCUUUCAACGGAUGAUGGUACUCACGAGGCUUUGAUGAGCAGCUGCUCUCUCUCCUGGAGUUCCCGCUUCAGACUUUCUACUUCCACCUUGAGCUCAAUGUUCUACAAAACAAGAUUAAGAAAGAAAAGAAACAAUGUAAAAUAGAGGACCUAUGAAUGUCAACAAUGGGGAAACUGCUUCCAGCACAGACUGACUACAGGAUGCUUGUAAUAGGCAGAUGUUAGAUUCCAAAAACCCUCAUUAGCCUCAGGGCACAGGGAAAAGGGAAUUAUUAAACACUGGUGGUCUCAAAAGAAAGACCUAGAUUUUGUGAGACUUGGAACAAUUAUGUAAAUGCUCCAAGCUUCUAACAGCCAGAGCAUUCAAAUAUCAAGGCAUAAAUGUCAUACAAGGAAGGCUGAUUUAAAAAUUGUAUGCCCUCCACCAAGCAAAUUUACAAGCAAUUCUGCGGUGUGUUUUUCCCAUUCCAAAGCAAUUACUGGUGGUUGUUUACAAUCAUGCAUGUGGUGGAUGCAGCAGUGGGAACGUGUUACAGCUUAAAAAAAAAUAAAACAUGUGGAUGGAAAACAGGAGACCA